CUGGCCCUCAGGCUGGCAGCUUCCUGAUGCUGUUAGUUUCAGGCAGGAGCCUAAAGAGAUGUCUUUCUAUGAUCUGUUGGCCAUUUCAGAACUUGGGCAGUGAAACAGUCAAUUCAUUAGAAAGAAACAGCU
Molecule: small nucleolar RNA, 132 nt
Organism: Cavia porcellus (domestic guinea pig)
Lineage: Eukaryota; Metazoa; Chordata; Mammalia; Rodentia; Caviidae
Source: Ensembl